RNAcentral lists this ribosomal RNA (433 nucleotides) under uncultured bacterium. RNAcentral describes it as "partial 16S ribosomal RNA". It matches the Rfam family "Bacterial small subunit ribosomal RNA", at positions 29 to 507 of the family's 1533-position model. The record is from RNAcentral.
AACGAACGCUGGCGGCAGGCCUAACACAUGCAAGUCGAGCGCGCCCUUCGGGGUGAGCGGCGGACGGGUGAGUAACGCGUGGGAACGUGCCCUUUUCUACGGAAUAGCCUCGGGAAACUGAGAGUAAUACCGUAUACGCCCUUUGGGGGAAAGAUUUAUCGGAAAAGGAUCGGCCCGCGUUGGAUUAGGUAGUUGGUGGGGUAAUGGCCUACCACGCCGACGAUCCAUAGCUGGUUUGAGAGGAUGAUCAGCCACACUGGGACUGAGACACGGCCCAGACUCCUACGGGAGGCAGCAGUGGGGAAUCUUAGACAAUGGGGGCAACCCUGAUCGAGCCAUGCCGCGUGAGUGAUGAAGGCCUUAGGGUUGUAAAGCUCUUUCAGCUGGGAAGAUAAUGACGGUACCAGCAGAAGAAGCCCCGGCUAACUCCGUG